AGAUACACUAGUCUAGUAAGGAUAUCACACUAUAUCACCGAUACAGAAUUAAAGGUGGAUAUAAAACAAAAACAACUAAUAGAGCACUGAAUUUAGCAAAUCCAUUCAUCAAUCAUAAAAUCAUUUACCGUUCAGUUACCACAGUGAAAUUUAUGAAAAUAACCUAUGCAAACAAUAAUAUUAUACGGAUCAUAAUUUCAUGUAAGAUCAGCAACAUAGCACAUAUCAUAAAUCUAUACACAUCGUCAAAUAACCAAACAAUAACUGUCACAUUUUUACCAGUCUACUAGUAUCCAUGAGGGUUUAUAGGGAUGUUCCUGCUACACGUGACCCUUUUCCUGUAACAAUAUCAGUUACGGGUCGUCCCCAUACCCCAUCCGGUAUGAGCACCAAAUUAUUAAAUCUUAAUACCCCGUAUGGUAUGAGUACCAAAUUAUUAAACCUCAAUACCUCGUUCGAUAUGAGCACCAAAUUAUUCAGUCUCCACACCCCGUCCGGUAUGAGACAACGUUCAUGGUAGGGUUCUCUAUGUAGCCGGUCCGUCCACCAUCUCAUAGGAUAUCUAGUAAAGCUGUCGUUCUAUCUGUUUAUUUAAUCACACAACUUUUCUGUUUUCCUUUAAUCUCUAUUUCCAGAUUAAACAUAAUCACAUAAGUAAAUAAACAUGCAUCAGGUAAUACAAUCAUGUCUCAAAUCCUAAAUCAAACAGUUAUCAUGUAAGGUAGCAAUUCAUGCAUUCAAAUCAUAAAAUAAAUCAAUAAGGCACUAUCAUGCUUUUAGACUGUAAAAUAAAUCAACAGAGAACAAUUUUCGAUUCAGGCUCCAUCAGCAAUCCGUAAUUAAUUAUGCACAU
Molecule: long non-coding RNA, 853 nt
Filed under: Carica papaya (papaya)
Lineage: Eukaryota; Viridiplantae; Streptophyta; Magnoliopsida; Brassicales; Caricaceae
Description: long non-coding RNA (CPAP_LNC011808)
Source: RNAcentral